UGGGGAAUAUUGCGCAAUGGGCGGAAGCCUGACGCAGCGACGCCGCGUGGGGGAUGACGGCCUCGGGUUGUAAACCUCUUUCAGCAGGGACGAAGCGGAAGUGACGGUACCUGCAGAAGAAGCACCGGUUAACUACGUGCCAGCAGCCGCGGUAAUACGUAGGGUGCAAGCGUUGUCCGGAAUUAUUGGGCGUAAAGAGCUCGUAGGCGGUCUGUCGCGUCGGCUGUGAAAACCCGGGGGCUUAACCCCGGGCCGUGCAGUGGAUACGGGCGAGACUAGAGGCAGGUAGGGGAGAAUGGAAUUCCCGGUGUAGCGGUGAAAUGCGCAGAUAUCGGGAGGAACACCGGUGGCGAAGGCGGUUCUCUGGGCCUGACCUGACGCUGAGGAGCGAAAGCGUGGGGAGCGAACAGGAUUAGAUACC
RNAcentral lists this ribosomal RNA (421 nucleotides) under uncultured bacterium. RNAcentral describes it as "bacterial SSU rRNA". It matches the Rfam family "Bacterial small subunit ribosomal RNA", at positions 355 to 786 of the family's 1533-position model. The record is from RNAcentral.